Molecule: ribosomal RNA, 468 nt
Filed under: uncultured bacterium
Lineage: Bacteria
Description: partial 16S ribosomal RNA
Rfam family: Bacterial small subunit ribosomal RNA
Source: RNAcentral
GACGAACGCUGGCGGCGUGCUUAACACAUGCAAGUCGAACGGAAAGGCCCUGCUUUUGUGGGGUGCUCGAGUGGCGAACGGGUGAGUAACACGUGAGUAACCUGCCCUUGACUUUGGGAUAACUUCAGGAAACUGGGGCUCAUACCGGAUAGGAGCUCCUGCUGCAUGGUGGUGGUUGGAAAGUUUCGGCGGUGGGGGCUGGACUCGCGGCUUCUCCGCUUGUUGGUGGGGUAGUGGCUUACCAAGGCUUUGACGGGUAGCCGGCCUGAGAGGGUGACCGGCCACAUUGGGACUGAGAUACGGCCCAGACUGCUACGGGAGGCAGCAGUGGGGAAUAUUGCACAAUGGGCGGAAGCCUGAUGCAGCAACGCCGCGUGCGGGAUGACGGCCUUCGGGUUGUAAACCGCUUUCGCCUGUGACGAAGCGUGAGUGACGGUAAUGGGUAAAGAAGCACCGGCUAACUACGUG